GUGAGUCAUCGAAUCUUUGAACGCACCUUGCGCUCCUUGGUAUUCCUCGGAGCAUGCCUGUUUGAGUAUCAUGGAAUUCUCAACUCCCUAAGUUUCUUACCGGAAGCUGUGGUGAGCUUGGACUUGGAGGUCGUGUCGGUCUGCUUCAGUCAGUCGACUCCUCUGAAAUGCAUUAGCGUGAGUCUUACGAAUCACCUUCAACGUGAUAAUUGUCUGCGUUGGGGUCGAUCAGUACUUGUGUGCUCAUGCUUACAGUCGUCUCUCACCAGAGACACUUUCUUGACUUCUGAUCUCAAAUCAGGUAGGACUACCCGCUGAACUUAAGCAUAUCAAUAAGCGGAGGA
This 344-nucleotide unclassified non-coding RNA is filed under the name Ceriporia sp. RNAcentral describes it as "partial contains 5.8S ribosomal RNA, internal transcribed spacer 2, and large subunit ribosomal RNA". The stretch from base 288 to 344 matches the Rfam family "Eukaryotic large subunit ribosomal RNA", at positions 1 to 57 of the family's 3401-position model. The record is from RNAcentral. Lineage: Eukaryota; Fungi; Basidiomycota; Agaricomycetes; Polyporales; Irpicaceae.